UUUCCUCAUUUUAAUAUGGAAAAAAUGUGGAAAAAAAUACGGAGAAAAUUAACAAUAUGGAAAAGCCGAAAAUAUACGGAAAUAAUCCGGAAAAUAAACGGAAAUAAUACGGAGAAUUGGACUUAGUCUAUUUUUCAUCUGGAAAAACAUUGAACUCUUAACUUUGAAUAUUUUUCAUCUGGAAAAAAUACGGAGCUCUGGACUUAGAAUUUUUUCAUCAAGAACAAGAUGUGUUUGUGAGACACAGUAGCACCUGGCAGCAACAUUAAGUUCUAAAAAACAAUUUUUAGCAAAUGGGUCUCAGUCAAGGUCACACAAUCAUUGUUCUUGGUGUCAUUUGAAAGCACUUUAUUAGUAUAGUAUGCAUACCAAAUAUUAAGUCUCUAUUAUCUAUGGUUCAAAAGUUAUGGCGAAAAUUCGAAAAAAGCUAUAUUUAGCACAUAGGUCACAGCCAAGGUCACAAGGUCAUUGACCUUGGUGUCAGUUGAAGGUGCCUAAUUAGUGGAGUAUGCAUACCAAAUAUGAAGUCUCCAUCUCUCACCGUUCAGAAGUUAUGGCGAAAGUUCGAAAAAGCUAUUUUUAGCAUAAAGGUCACAGUCAAGGUCACUGACCUUGGUGUCAGUUGAAAGUGCCUAAUUAGUGGAGUAAGCAUACCAAGUAUGAAGUCUCUAUCUCUCACCGUUCAGAAGUUAUGGCGAAAGUUCGAAAAAGCUAUUUUUAGCAUAAAGGUCACAGUCAUGGUCACAAGGUCAUUGACCUUACUGUCAGUUGAAAGUGCCUAAUUAGUGGAGUAUGCAUACCAAAUAUGAAGUCUCUAUCUCUCACGGUUCAGAAGUUAUGGCGAAAGUUCGAAAAAGCUAUUUUUAGCAUAAAGGUCACAAUCAAGGUCAUAAGGUCAUUGACCUUGGUGUCAGUUGAAAGUGUUUUUGUAGUGGAGUAUCCAUACCAAAUAUGAAGUCUCUAAGUCUCACGGUUCAAAAGUUAUGGCGAAGGUUAAAGUUGACAACAGACAGACAAACAGACAGACAGACAGCUAAACAGACAGGACAAAAACAAUAUGCGCCCCGAAAAAAUUUGGAUGCAUAAAAACUGUCUUGGAGUUAACAGCAGUUCUCUGUUUCUCCUGAAUGUUAUGUACAAUUUGAUCGGGAUCGGAAGAAUGUUUCAAAAAGUCGGGCUCAGUGAUCAAUUAAUUUAAACAACAGACCGCCAAAAUUUAACCUUGGCCUCCAUGUUGCAACGUCUGCUCUGUCUAAAGGAAGAAGUUUGUUGACCAGACAGCCUGAGAUCGUAUUGCUGUAUCAACCAAAAGAUGCAGAUACACGUAUUUCAUUUGCGGUAGCGUCUGUGCAUGAGGAGGAGAUUUCUGAAAAAGAAUAAGUGCUUAUUCAACUUACUACGAUUUUAAGGGGCUUAAAGCUUGGUCCAUGGAUGGUUAUGUUUGAGGAUUUGCCAAUUCGACCGCAAGUGCUGCUGCAAGAAAUUAAACAUGCAGAGACCUUACAAAUUACAAAGAAGUCUGAAGAAAUUUUUAUUGGACAGAUGGGUGUAAAGCACAGACCUGAGAUAUAAAUUGAAUUGUGAGAAAUAUGAAUCAGGGAUGCAGGUAGAAAAUGGCAAAUGUGAUCCAGAUUGAUAAAAAAUGUCUAAAUUUUUUUCUUGUUUUGUAAAUAUUCAAUGCUAUGUCAAUUGUUAUUUUUUCCCCAAUACCUAAUAGUGUUGAACAUUUCACUCCCACUUUUGCUUAAAUAGAAUGAAUAAAUUUCCAUUUAUUUAAUAUGAAUAUUAAAAAAUGCCACAUUUUUUUCAUGAUGAACUUGUGGCUUAAAUAAGAGUUCCAGUUUUUUUUCCAUACAUGCUCCAAUUUGUUUGUCAAAGAUAUAAGAUCCAAUACAUUGCUCAUGAACAUAAUGUGUAAUUUUGUUCAUUCAUCUGUAUGUUUUUUUCUCAUAAUGAUAUAAUAAAUUGUAUAUAAUUUUGCACAUUGUUGAUGGUUUUGUAAAUAUUUAUGUAUGUAUGCAUCAUGUAGCGGUUUUAUUAGCCAUUUUAUAACCAUGUGAUUAACUCCGUAUUUUCUCCAGAUUUCCGUAUUUCCGCAUUUUAUCAACCAAGUAAAUACCUCCAUAUUUUGUAUAUAUGGAAAUGCGGAAAUCUGGAGAGAAUACGGAAAAAGAGUCCAAAUACUCCCAUCCACAUUUUCUCCAUAUUUUGAAUACGGAGAAAAUCUGGAAAUUUGAAUACGGAGAAAAUCUGGAAUGAAUGCGGAAAAUUAGUCCAAAUACUCCCGUCCGCAUUUUUUCCUUAUUUUGAAUAAGGAAAAAAUGUGGAGAUCUGAGG
Molecule: long non-coding RNA, 2337 nt
Organism: Saccostrea cuccullata (small rock oyster)
Lineage: Eukaryota; Metazoa; Mollusca; Bivalvia; Ostreida; Ostreidae
Exons: 3
Source: RefSeq, a predicted model, not a curated record